Molecule: ribosomal RNA, 429 nt
Filed under: Fusobacteriota bacterium
Lineage: Bacteria; Fusobacteriati; Fusobacteriota
Description: Fusobacteria bacterium partial 16S ribosomal RNA
Rfam family: Bacterial small subunit ribosomal RNA
Source: RNAcentral
UGGGGAAUCUUCCGCAAUGGACGAAAGUCUGACGGAGCAACGCCGCGUGAGUGAAGACGGCCUUCGGGUUGUAAAGCUCUGUGAUCCGGGACGAAAGAGCCUGAGGUAAAUAGCCUAAGGAAGUGACGGUACCGGAAAAGCAAGCCACGGCUAACUACGUGCCAGCAGCCGCGGUAAUACGUAGGUGGCAAGCGUUGUCCGGAAUUAUUGGGCGUAAAGCGCGCGCAGGCGGCUUACUAAGUCCUUCUUAAAAGUGCGGGGCUUAACCCCGUGAUGGGAUGGAAACUGGAAAGCUGGAGUAUCGGAGAGGAAAGUGGAAUUCCUAGUGUAGCGGUGAAAUGCGUAGAAAUUAGGAAGAACACCGGUGGCGAAGGCGACUUUCUGGACGAAAACUGACGCUGAGGCGCUAAAGCGUGGGGAGCAAACAGG